RNAcentral lists this long non-coding RNA (1587 nucleotides) under Zostera marina. RNAcentral describes it as "long non-coding RNA (ZMAR_LNC004877)". Lineage: Eukaryota; Viridiplantae; Streptophyta; Magnoliopsida; Alismatales; Zosteraceae. The record is from RNAcentral.
CACAACAGAUGUAGAGAAAUAAUAUUUUUAUGGAUAAUUCAUUUAAACUUUAAGGGUCAUUUGCUCAUUCUUAUAACUUUAACUUGUAAGUUGUACGACCAACCUUUCACAUAACUACGUAGGACUGACCUGAUAAGUGAUACCCGAUCCAAGCCUAAUAACAUAUUAACAUGAUAUGAAUAAGACCAUACUCUACAAAUGGCUAGCCCUACUUGUACCGUUGUGUUCACUACCUUCAUGUCUGCUCUUUUUGACAAAUUCACUACUGAAUCCAGAACCCAAAGUUUCUUCUGUUCUGAUUUGGAUUCAUGUAUGAACUCGUCAUUCUCCAAUUUGGUCACCCAAGUGUCCAACCCUAUAAUGGCAGUGUCCAAAUCUCAACAAAAGUCGAUCCAGUCAAACUCUCUAAUAUUCUUCCUGAAUAUUCUUUCCAUUAAAAUAUUAUCCUCUGAUCUUCAUCGUCAUCUUAUAUUUGAUGACAUCAUAAGUUUCAUGACACAGACAUGGUGAUAAUGUGAUAUUCUCUCUGUUAAGACUUAAGAUUUAAUUGAUAAUGAUUUAAACCUUACGAUAAAAAAAAUUAAUAAUAAGAUGAAUGAAAAAAAUUAAUAAUAAGACUAGAAUCGUUUUCUGUAUGCUUAAAGAAUAAAAUGAAAAAAAGUUGAAGAUAAGACAAUGAUAAGGAAGAAGAAAAAUUAAUGGAAGAAAAAUUUAAGAUAAAUAGAACUCCCAAACACAUGAGAAAGAAAUAAGAGAAGUAGGAGGGAAUGAUGAAAAGACGUAACAUUAAUUUCAAUCAAAAAAAAAAUUCAUCUACUCAAUCAUUAAAAAAAAAUCUUAAUCAUUAACACUAAAUCAAAAUAUCAAAAAAUUAUUAAAUUGGUCAUUAAAAUCCUUUAUGAUUUUUAAUUCCAAAAAUCAAAGUAAUCCCAAAUAUAUCAUGAGGGCUACUAAGAUUUUAUGUAAUCCCAAAUUUCGGAAGAAUAGAUGUGCCAGAAAAUCAACAUUUAAUGCAUAACAUACAUUAGGAAAAAAAACGUGGUAAAAGGUCUGAGAAAAUGAAGGUGAGAAAUGCAUACCUGACCUUCAUCGAUAGUCGACGAUGGCAUACUUUAACUCUAACCCUUUAAUCAGCUUGCCACUACUACUCAACGAACGGACCAAUACAUGAAUCUCUUACUGCAAAAAAUAUCGAUUUAAUGAAAUAGAAUGUAUAAAGAGAUAGAUCCAACAUAGAUGAAAUAGAAUAAGAAUGGAAGAUUUCGUGAUAUGCCGCAACGAUGGUAGAUCGAUCGAUCGGUAUAUGAGCUGAUAGAACCGACUCGCCUCUGAAUGGACGUGAACCAUUGAAUCGUCUUUGAAUGAACGAAAACAACCUUGACUCCACACCGAUGACUACGUCGAUGCAUAAACUUCAUCCUUCUAUCCGGCGAACACCUAACCCUAACACAAUGACGUCCCAUUGCUUUACGCUCCGUGCAGUAAGAUGCGAAAAAGCCCAAAAUAGAACGCCGCAACCCAUUUUACACUCGAUCUCGACUCCAUAUAAAGCAAUUUUUGGGCCGGUCUACCUAAAAUCAGUAAAUU